AGAGCGAACGCUGGCGGCAGGCCUAACACAUGCAAGUCGAGCGGAUGUAGCAAUACAUCAGCGGCAGACGGGAGAGUAACACGUGGGAACGUGCCCUUUGGUUCGGAAUAACGCAGGGAAACUUGCGCUAAUACCGAAUAAGCCCUUACGGGGAAAGAUUUAUCGCCAUUGGAGCGGCCCGCGUCUGAUUAGCUAGUUGGUGAGGUAACGGCUCACCAAGGCGACGAUCAGUAGCUGGUCUGAGAGGAUGAUCAGCCUCACUGGGACUGAGACACGGCCCAGACUCCUACGGGAGGCAGCAGUGGGGAAUAUUGGACAAUGGGCGCAAGCCUGAUCCAGCCAUGCCGCGUGGAUGAUGAAGGCCUUAGGGUUGUAAAAUCCUUUCGACGGGGAAGAUAAUGACGGUACCCGUAGAAGAAGCCCCGGCUAACUUCGCGCCAGCAGCCGC
This 448-nucleotide ribosomal RNA is filed under the name uncultured bacterium. RNAcentral describes it as "SSU rRNA". It matches the Rfam family "Bacterial small subunit ribosomal RNA", at positions 26 to 518 of the family's 1533-position model. The record is from RNAcentral.